GGAGUGAGCCUGAUCAGAGGGGCUCAAAGGCCCCGUUAUAGAAUUUUGGGGAGUUUAAAUACCCCCAAGAACCUGGACACCCUCCAUCAUUAACAUAUUUUGGUGACCCAGGAAAGAGGAAGAGAUGUUCUUCUUUGUACUUUCUCAGAAGAGAAUCAGGGGGAGAGAAGCAAAAAUGGUCAUGACAAGACGCAUAUUUGCAGAAGAUAAUUUUUCAAAAAGUUGGGAGCAGACCUGGAACAGCUGGAUGUGGAAAUGCUUCUUGUUCCAGUACAUCACAUUCCAGGGAACAAAGAAUUCCUUUACAAAGCCGGGUGUCUUCAUUUUCUUAGAAGAACCACUGCAACGGACAGUCCUACAAUAUAGGGACUUUGAUCAUCUCCAGUGUGUCUAGGAGACAGGCUCACUAGUGAGGAGUGAUGCAGCCCAGGAAUCACAGUGGUGCAUUUUUGGAUCAACAAUCUCAACGCUGCUCUCAGUAUCCUAACCCAUGUGGGGAGCAACUGGGGACAGGUGUCUAUAUGUGAAUCCAGGUGUGAGGUGCACCUCUGUUUUGAUCACUUGUGACGAUGGCCCUCAAACUUGGUAUGUAUCAAAUCAUCCGGGAACUUGGUGAGACUGUGGGACCCUGAGCCUCAACCUGCUUCAAAGAGGGGAGGCAUGCAUAUUUUUUUGUUAGUUUUCAAGGUGAUUCUGAUACUAUAUACAGAAGUUUGAGAAGCACUUCUCCAGAGCCUAACAUCCAGGACUCUGAUUCUCAAAUUAGUUGCACACUGUCAUUACCUGGGAGGCUUUUAAAACACAGAAAACAAAAACCACUGUUGCCUCUUCCCACCCCUAGAGAUUCGGACAAUUGUUACGGAGUUUGGUCUGGGAACCAGAAUUCUUAACCUCUCCACAAGGUGUUUCUAAUAUAUAGCAAAGUUUGAGAAUCACUGAUCCAGGAGAAAAGUCUCUUUUCUGCACGUGUCUGCGUUUCUGUUUUAACA
Long non-coding RNA from Rhinopithecus roxellana (golden snub-nosed monkey), 989 nucleotides. RefSeq lists it as uncharacterized. Lineage: Eukaryota; Metazoa; Chordata; Mammalia; Primates; Cercopithecidae. The transcript has 6 exons. The record is from RefSeq and is a predicted model, not a curated record.